Molecule: long non-coding RNA, 1373 nt
Organism: Peromyscus eremicus (cactus mouse)
Lineage: Eukaryota; Metazoa; Chordata; Mammalia; Rodentia; Cricetidae
Exons: 3
Source: RefSeq, a predicted model, not a curated record
UUGGAUAACCUUGACUGUCACCUUGAUGGGGGGAUGCUGGAUAACCUCGACUGUCACCUUGAUGGGAUUUAGAAUCACCCCUACUAUAUUCAUACUUCUGUGUAGAACUGUCAGGGCAUUUCCCGAGUUUUAAAUAAGGAGGGGAGGGUGACAACAGUCCUUGGGCUGGGGGCCCAGACUGAAGAAAAAUGAGAAUGAGAACCAAACACCAGCGUUCAACCCAGCUUCCUGACUGAGGCUGCAGUGUGACCGACCACCUCGCUUCUGGGGCUUCCCACAGAUGGACUCCCCGUCAAGCUGAACUGCACCUUCCUGCAAUCAGCUGAAACAAAUCUUUCCCUCCUCACCUUGCUUCUGCUACACACUUUGUCCUGGGAACUAGAAACGUCUGGCACAGUGGGUGAACGACUUCCCGAGAAUCUAUAAUUAUUACAAAUAAAGGUUCAAUGGAAGCACCGUGAGCAGAAUGAGACUUUUCUGAGUGCUUCAUGCUGCAGAGGCCUCUCCCCAGUCCAGCCUUGCUCUGGCAUACCUUUGAUGCCCUCUCAGACCUCCUUCCACCUUGCACCAUCCACCCUUGAAGGACUUACUGCCCACCCGAACAAGCAUUUUGAAUUUGAAAGAAAAGCUCCCGGAGGAGAGAGCUUAACCCGAGAAAGCACCGAUGUUGUAGGGCUGUGGAGCCCAGAUGAAAGCUGUGUUAAUGGUGGACCCACGCCUGUGGACACCAGCCCCAGGCCCACCCCUUCCCUUUUGAGGUUCCCAUUUUUGCUGCACAUUGAGGACAAGGACAGAAGGGGAGUAACUAGCUGGGACAAAACAGACCAAGUCCUCAAGUCCAGAGAAGAUGGAUUAGAACUGAGUGUGGUCAGUUACAGAAGGCUUUCUGGAGACACGGAGCCCUGGUCCCUCCUGGGGUCCAGAAGGAUGUUAGCUGAUGUGAUACAGAGGGCAGAAGAGAAGCUGGGAACCCCAGGAGGGGCCCAAAGGCUGAUACCACCCUGCUAGGCUGCUGGGUUAUCUUCCAGCCAGGGAACUAACCCACUCGCUGUAUCCCUGUACAGCUGAGCCAUCUCAGGCCUUAGGCCAAUAUCUUUCACACAGAACCCUCUUUAGUGCUUUGGGCUCCGUUUAAGAAAGGCCAAAAGCCACAGCCCACGAUCACCACAGAGCACCACAAAGCGCUCAGAGAGGGGAAAUGCUGUAAUCUAAGCUCCCCACCACUGAUGUGAAAUCUGUUAGCACAGGUAAUAAUCAGACGGUGGGAUAAGGCAGCACUGUGCCCGUGGGAUCCACCAGGCACACAAGGAGACCAGCUGCAGUUGCCCACAAUGGAGGAGCAGCAGCCUGGAAAGCUUACCACCAGCUCAGCA